CUGAUGCAGCCAUGCCGCGUGUAUGAAGAAGGCCUUCGGGUUGUAAAGUACUUUCAGCGGGGAGGAAGGCGAUGCGGUUAAUAACCGCGUCGAUUGACGUUACCCGCAGAAGAAGCACCGGCUAACUCCGUGCCAGCAGCCGCGGUAAUACGGAGGGUGCAAGCGUUAAUCGGAAUUACUGGGCGUAAAGCGCACGCAGGCGGUCUGUUAAGUCAGAUGUGAAAUCCCCGGGCUUAACCUGGGAACUGCAUUUGAAACUGGCAGGCUUGAGUCUUGUAGAGGGGGGUAGAAUUCCAGGUGUAGCGGUGAAAUGCGUAGAGAUCUGGAGGAAUACCGGUGGCGAAGGCGGCCCCCUGGACAAAGACUGACGCUCAGG
RNAcentral lists this ribosomal RNA (376 nucleotides) under bacterium. RNAcentral's name for it is "bacterial SSU rRNA". It matches the Rfam family "Bacterial small subunit ribosomal RNA", at positions 383 to 751 of the family's 1533-position model. The record is from RNAcentral.